RNAcentral lists this ribosomal RNA (813 nucleotides) under Onitis subopacus. Its description in RNAcentral is "SSU rRNA". It matches the Rfam family "Eukaryotic small subunit ribosomal RNA", at positions 483 to 1254 of the family's 1831-position model. Lineage: Eukaryota; Metazoa; Arthropoda; Insecta; Coleoptera; Scarabaeidae. The record is from RNAcentral.
AUACGGGACUCAUCCGAGGCCCCGUAAUCGGAAUGAGUACACUCUAAACCCUUUAACGAGGAUCAAUUGGAGGGCAAGUCUGGUGCCAGCAGCCGCGGUAAUUCCAGCUCCAAUAGCGUAUAUUAAAGUUGUUGCGGUUAAAAAGCUCGUAGUCGAAUUUGUGUCCCGCGCCGCCGGUUCAUCGCUCGCGGUGUUAACUGGCGUGUCCGCGGGACGUCCUGCCGGUGGGCUUAGCUCCUCGCGGGCGGCCCAAUCUCAAUCCCACCGCGGUGCUCUUCACUGAGUGUCGAGGUGGGCCGGCACGUUUACUUUGAACAAAUUAGAGUGCUUAAAGCAGGCUAAAAUAUCGCCUGAAUACUGUGUGCAUGGAAUAAUGGAAUAGGACCUCGGUUCUAUUUUGUUGGUUUUCGGAACCCCGAGGUAAUGAUUAAUAGGAACGGAUGGGGGCAUUCGUAUUGCGACGUUAGAGGUGAAAUUCUUGGAUCGUCGCAAGACGGACAGAAGCGAAAGCAUUUGCCAAAAACGUUUUCAUUGAUCAAGAACGAAAGUUAGAGGUUCGAAGGCGAUCAGAUACCGCCCUAGUUCUAACCAUAAACGAUGCCAGCUAGCGAUCCGUCGACGUUCCUCCGAUGACUCGACGGGCAGCUUCCGGGAAACCAAAGCUUUUGGGAUCCGGGGGAAGUAUGGUUGCAAAGCUGAAACUUAAAGGAAUUGACGGAAGGGCACCACCAGGAGUGGAGCCUGCGGCUUAAUUUGACUCAACACGGGAAACCUCACCAGGCCCGGACACCGGAAGGAUUGACAGAUUGAGAG